AUGGCUAGGAAAGUGCUGCCACCCACCCACCUGGGCCGGAGCUGGUUCUGCUCCUGCUGCAGGGACACUGAGCUGGCUAUCUCGGCGCUUCGGGCAAGAACCGCAACAGGCUCUCCUGGGUCCUGCAGGUUUACAGCCGGGCCCCUGCCUUGUGCCUCAGCUCUUGAGAGCUGCUGCUGCCGGGUGACCUGAUCCAACCUGAUAAGGUGCCAUCUUCAGCUACCACUGCAAGGCCCUGAGGGCAACAGCAGCAUGGCACUGCCCACCCAGCUGCUGAUGGCCUGGUGCCAGCUGGGAGUCCUCCCGGCACUUCGAGGCCACUGAGCCACUCUUCCAGCCCGGCCCACCAUGGACAGGGGUAUCCAGCUUCCUCCUCAACCUCGUCCUCUGCCCCUGAGCCAGUGACACCCAAGGACAUGCCUGUUACCCAGGUCCUGUACCAGCACUAGCUGGUCAAGGGCAUGACAGUGCUGGAGGCCGUCUUGGAGAUCCAGGCCAUCACUGACAGCAGGCUGCUCUCCAUGGUGCCAGGGCCUGCCAGGCCACCAGGCUUAUGCUGGGACCCAACCCAGUGCACAAGGACUUGGCUGCUGAGCCACACACCCAGGAGAAGGUGGAUAAGUGGGCUACCAAGGGCUUCCUGCAGGCUAGGGGAGGAGCCACCCCCGCUUCCCUGUUGUGACCAGGCCUAUGGGGAGGAGCUGUCCAUAUGCCAC
This 716-nucleotide small RNA is filed under the name Pan troglodytes (chimpanzee). RNAcentral describes it as "transcribed unitary pseudogene". The record is from RNAcentral. Lineage: Eukaryota; Metazoa; Chordata; Mammalia; Primates; Hominidae.